GACGAACCAUCCAAACGUUAUUCGGAAUUACUGGGCUUAAAGGGUGCGUAGGCUGCGCAGAAAGUUGGGUGUGAAAUCCCUCGGCUUAACCGAGGAACUGCGCCCAAAACUACUGUGCUUGAGGGAGACAGAGGUGAGCGGAACUUAGGGUGGAGCGGUGAAAUGCGUUGAUAUCCUAAGGAACACCGGUGGCGAAAGCGGCUCACUGGACCUCUUCUGACGCUGAGGCACGAAAGCUAGGGUAGCGAACGGG
RNAcentral lists this ribosomal RNA (253 nucleotides) under uncultured bacterium. RNAcentral describes it as "partial 16S ribosomal RNA". It matches the Rfam family "Bacterial small subunit ribosomal RNA", at positions 524 to 776 of the family's 1533-position model. The record is from RNAcentral.